GGAGUACUCCCUCCAUCCGAAAAUACUUGUCUUAGAAAUGGAUGUAUGUAGACUAAUUUUAGUUAUAGAUACAUCCAUUUUAUUCAUUUCUAAGACAAGUAUUUCCGGAUGGAGGGAGUACAAU
This 124-nucleotide microRNA precursor is filed under the name Hordeum vulgare. Its description in RNAcentral is "microRNA MIR1122". It matches the Rfam family "MIR1120/MIR1122 microRNA precursor family". The record is from RNAcentral. Lineage: Eukaryota; Viridiplantae; Streptophyta; Magnoliopsida; Poales; Poaceae.